Molecule: unclassified non-coding RNA, 412 nt
Filed under: soil metagenome
Description: partial contains 5.8S ribosomal RNA, internal transcribed spacer 2, and large subunit ribosomal RNA
Rfam family: 5.8S ribosomal RNA (bases 1-122)
Source: RNAcentral
GAUGAAGAACGCAGCGAAAUGCGAUACUUGGUGUGAAUUGCAGAAUCCCGUGAACCAUCGAGUCUUUGAACGCAAGUUGCGCCCGAAGUCGUCAGGCCGAGGGCACGCCUGCCUGGGCGUCACACGCCGUUGCCCCCCCGCGCCCCGCACCCAACUCUUUGGGAGCGACCGCGGGGCGGGCUGAUGAUGGCCUCCCGUGCGCUCCGCCGCGCGGUUGGCCCAAAUACCGAGUCCCCGGCGACGUGCGCCACGACGAUCGGUGGUUGAGAGACCUCUGUCGCAAGUCGUGCGCGCCCGUCGCGUCACGCGGGCUCGCAUAGCGCCUCGCGCCGCACCCGGUGCGGAGCUUUCAACGCGACCCCAGGUCAGGCGGGGUUACCCGCUGAAUUUAAGCAUAUCAAUAAGCGGAGGA